UACUCCAGAGGGCGUCACUCA
RNAcentral lists this microRNA (21 nucleotides) under Macaca mulatta (Rhesus monkey). Its description in RNAcentral is "mml-miR-508-5p". Its record names the gene mml-miR-508-5p. The record is from miRBase by way of RNAcentral. Lineage: Eukaryota; Metazoa; Chordata; Mammalia; Primates; Cercopithecidae.